GAGAUGAGGACUCCCACCCCCUUUGAGGGGUUAAGGCUCCCAGUAGACGACUGGGUUGAUAGGCCGGAUCUGGAAGCCAGGUAACUGGUGGAGGUGACCGGUACUAAUAGGCCGAGGGCUUGUCCAUG
This 128-nucleotide ribosomal RNA is filed under the name Streptomyces tsukubensis. Its description in RNAcentral is "partial 23S ribosomal RNA". It matches the Rfam family "Bacterial large subunit ribosomal RNA", at positions 2801 to 2925 of the family's 2925-position model. Lineage: Bacteria; Bacillati; Actinomycetota; Actinomycetes; Kitasatosporales; Streptomycetaceae. The record is from RNAcentral.